Long non-coding RNA from Daphnia pulicaria, 633 nucleotides. RefSeq lists it as uncharacterized. The record is from RefSeq and is a predicted model, not a curated record. The transcript has 3 exons. NCBI's taxonomy places the organism in Eukaryota, Metazoa, Arthropoda, Branchiopoda, Diplostraca, Daphniidae.
GUUGGCGUAGUACGAUUUUUUGGUGUUCCUGUCUCUCCAGAUAACAAAUACCCAUCGGACUCAAUAAUUAUCCAACAAAGAAGAGAACUGUGGUUAGCUAGAUUAAACAUCAGUGAUGCUAACAUCAAAACAAAAUACUUAGUGUGUAAUCGUCAUUUUAUAUCUGGAAAACCAAGCUACUAUUUACAUAAAAAUCAUCCAGAUUGGGCUCCUUCAUUAUCAUUGAUCAAAGCUAUCACAUAUAGCACUCGUUUACAGAGAAGAGUGCUGUAUAGCUACAACAGAGAGGCUAUGGUUAUGCACACUUUAGCAAACUAUACACAACAUAAAAAGGAAGAUAAUAUCAACAUUACGAUAUACACAGUCUUCAUCCCUUUGAGGUUAGUGAAAAUCUGAAUUCAAGUGAAGUUCUACUUACUGAAGAACUUCGAGAUUCUCCAAUGGACCUGUCAACAUCAAAACAGUCCCACAUCCUGGUCGACGAAGAACCGUCACCAAGUGAACACUCACCACAAUUGGUGAGUGACUUACAAAAUCAAAUCUAAAAGUUAACAGCGCAACUUGAAAAAAUGAAUGCAGACUACAUCUCACUCAAGAAAGAAUUUGCUAUGUAUCUUGAAAGGCCAAUAACAU